AGAGUUUGAUCCUGGCUCAGGAUGAACGCUGGCGGCGUGCUUAACACAUGCAAGUCGAACGAUCCUUCGGGAUAGUGGCGGACGGGUGAGUAACGCGUGGGAAUCUGCCCUCAGGAGGGGGAUAACGGCUGGAAACGGCCGCUAAUACCCCAUAUGCCGAGAGGUGAAAUGAAUUUCGCCUGAGGAUGAGCCCGCGUCUGAUUAGCUAGUUGGUGGGGUAAAGGCCUACCAAGGCAACGAUCAGUAGCUGGUCUGAGAGGAUGAUCAGCCACACUGGGACUGAGACACGGCCCAGACUCCUACGGGAGGCAGCAGUGGGGAAUUUUCCGCAAUGGGCGAAAGCCUGACGGAGCAACGCCGCGUGAGGGAUGAAGGCCUCUGGGCUGUAAACCUCUUUUCUCAAGGAAGAAGACCUGACGGUACUUGAGGAAUAAGCCACGGCUAAUUCCGUGCCAGCAGCCGCGGUAAUACGGGAGUGGCAAGCGUUAUCCGGAAUUAUUGGGCGUAAAGCGUCCGCAGGCGGCCUUGUAAGUCUGUUGUUAAAGCGUGGAGCUCAACUCCAUUUAAGCAAUGGAAACUACAAGGCUGGAGUGUGGUAGGGGCAGAGGGAAUUCCCGGUGUAGCGGUGAAAUGCGUAGAUAUCGGGAAGAACACCAGUGGCGAAGGCGCUCUGCUGGGCCAUAACUGACGCUCAUGGACGAAAGCCAGGGGAGCGAAAGGGAUUAGAUACCCCUGUAGUCCUGGCCGUAAACGAUGAACACUAGGUGUCGGGGGAAUCGACCCCCUCGGUGUCGUAGCCAACGCGUUAAGUGUUCCGCCUGGGGAGUACGCACGCAAGUGUGAAACUCAAAGGAAUUGACGGGGGCCCGCACAAGCGGUGGAGUAUGUGGUUUAAUUCGAUGCAACGCGAAGAACCUUACCAGGGUUUGACAUCCUGCGAACCCCUGAGAAAUCGGGGGGUGCCUUCGGGAGCGCAGAGACAGGUGGUGCAUGGCUGUCGUCGGCUCGUGUCGUGAGAUGUUGGGUUAAGUCCCGCAACGAGCGCAACCCACGUCUUUAGUUGCCAGCAUUCAGUUGGGCACUCUAGAGAGACCGCCGGUGAUAAACCGGAGGAAGGUGUGGGUGACGUCAAGUCAUCAUGCCCCUUACAUCCUGGGCUACACACGUACUACAAUGCUACGGACAAAGGGCAGCAAGCUCGCGAGAGUUAGCAAAUCCCAUAAACCGUGGCUCAGUUCAGAUCGUAGGCUGCAACUCGCCUACGUGAAGGAGGAAUCGCUAGUAAUCGCAGGUCAGCAUACUGCGGUGAAUACGUUCCCGGGCCUUGUACACACCGCCCGUCACACCAUGGAAGUUGGCCAUGCCCGAAGUCGUUACUCCAACCCUUGUGGAGGAGGACGCCGAAGGUGGGGCUGAUGACUGGGGUGAAGUCGUAACAAGGUA
Molecule: ribosomal RNA, 1443 nt
Filed under: metagenome
Description: bacterial SSU rRNA
Rfam family: Bacterial small subunit ribosomal RNA
Source: RNAcentral